GGAGACCUCAGCCUGAGCAUCGUCUCCAAUGAGCUUUAACAGCCGCACGAGGUGGAACCCACGGAGCACCUUUCCACCUUCCAGGAGCCCCCCCAAAAAAAAUACCCAGACUCAUCACACCUCUUUUCUGCUGUGACCUCUGACCUACACACCGCGCACAGCUGUCACAACACCCAGUCGCUGCACUAAUGUUUCUUUUUUUCACGGCUAAUUGGCGCGGCCUAAUGGCGGCAUGCACGCUUCCUGUUGGCUGUAAAUAGGCUGUGUAAGUGUAAUAAACCGCUUGCGUUUCAUAGCGUGGCGUGUGAGUAAGUGAUCACGCUGCCUGUGAUUACCCCCCUAGAUUGGUUUAUAAUUAAAAAGUAAGAGCCAGCGGAGGGAGGUGGAGACCGCGGCUCUUGCGGCGCUGAAUAGAUUUCUAGGAGAGGAGACGGCUCAGGAUAAGCUCUACGGGGGGGAUCCAGUGACAGGAAACAUCGGUUGUUAAUGUGCAAAAAUAAAACAGCAGCCUCGAGGAAGGUAACCUGAAGGUGUGUGUGUGUGUGUGUCAUCAUCAUGUGUUCACGGCGGUUUGAGCUCCACCGCACCGACUUCUGGUGAAACCUUGUUGCUUGGCAGGUUUUCCGUACCUCGGAUUCACAGGGCCGCUGGUAUCUCAGGGCUGAUUCCCCAAACCAAGCAGACGGGGCAUCGCAUCUCCCCCCCUGGUGUUGGGUGUCAGUGGACGGGACAAAGUGAUGCUUGUUGCUAAUCCGCUGCGCCCUGACGUAUUGAUGUCAGUCCCACACGGAUCACAGCAGUCGACGGGUCAGCGGCUCCUCGCAGGCCCUCGUCCUGUGCUGCUGGAGGAUUGUCCUCCGCGCCGGCCUCACGCUCUCACUCUUGGAAUAGACUUUUGUCAAUUCGCAUUUCCAAACGAAUAAUUUGCUCUCAGUUAUCGAGCUUCCUCGACAAAGAAGCAGCGCGAGAAAACAACAAAUGCGCACACGACAGGAUCCGCCGGCGUGUGAGCGCCCGACCCGAGGCACAGAGGGCUGAUUGAGAAGCGUCACGUGACGAACGGCGUGACGAGAUCAGCAGGACGAGGGGGUCGGCCGGGCCUCAUGCAGCGCCGCUCGUAAAUACACCAGAUUCAUGUCCGGUACACUGAGCGUCUCUCAGAGAUCCGUGUUCCUCUCUGCACAUCACGGCAGCUCAGCAACACUCCAGAUGCGUCUCCGCGGUCCGUCGCCGGCGUACGGACACGUUGAAGCGCUGCUGAUGAUCCCUUCAGUGAGGACGUCCUCGACAGCAGAAGACCUGGAGACGCCUUGUUUUAUUAUUUUUCUUUUAUUUACUGGAUAUUGUUUUGUGUCCUAAUCCGUUUUCAUGUAUUUCCCUGCAGCCUGUGGAUGUUUACACGAUCAUCACGUGUAGACACGGAGCGAGGUUGACAUUCUGCUUGAUUGCAUAUUAGCGACGUGAGAGAGAGAGAGACGUGGUCCCUUUGUGAGCGUCACUUUGUUCUUUCUUUACAGAAAGAAGGAAGUUUGUUGAUAAGAAAUAAUUGGUAUCCAAUUUAGAAGAAACGCGAUUUUGAAGAAACACGAUUCAUUGUUCUUCAAGAUGAUGCCCGAGGGCUUAAAAAGCACAUCUUGGCAGCUCUUUGCAGAUUAGUAGCUGCACAACAGCAAUAGUGUCUCUGCAAAUGUGAAACGUACUCUUUCAUUCCUUCAGUUAAAUGAAAGUGGGCUGUUUUGUUCUCACAUUCUGUACCUGUAGCCCACAUCAUAAGGCAGAGCAAUGUAAAAAACAGUACCAGGAAUAAUAAGUGGAAAUUGAAAAUAAAAUGUGCAUCUCUGCUUGUAAGGUGGAAAACACUGAAGCCUCAUUACAGAUCCAUUUGGUGGUUAUAGACACCUUUCAGUCAGUAGGGUUCAUCCUCUGGGAACCACGAGUGUCUACAAACUGGGCCAAUCCAUCAUCGUCCGACGGCCAAGUGCAAACUUUGAGCGCCUGCUGACGGCAGAGGAAAUGUCAGCGGAUCCGUUGGUUCCCUGGAAACCACGAAGGUCUAAAUGACAGUUGGUGACCAAAGUGUUGAUCCGACAAACCACCAUUC
Gasterosteus aculeatus aculeatus (three-spined stickleback) is the source of this 2101-nucleotide long non-coding RNA. NCBI's taxonomy places the organism in Eukaryota, Metazoa, Chordata, Actinopteri, Perciformes, Gasterosteidae. The record is from Ensembl.